RNAcentral lists this long non-coding RNA (948 nucleotides) under Capra hircus (goat). RNAcentral's name for it is "lncRNA (ENSCHIG00000004737.1)". Lineage: Eukaryota; Metazoa; Chordata; Mammalia; Artiodactyla; Bovidae. The record is from RNAcentral.
CGGCUUGUCAGAAGAAGGAGAAAAGCUGUGUGAAUUAGAAUCACAGUGGGCUCGUCUCCCCUGUCCUCACACCACCCUUCUCUCAUCCCCAGAGCCUGCAUGCAAGUAAGAAUUUCCAGAGUCUGAAGCCCAGAUCUUCCCCUGCACUGGGGCUCCAUCCAGCUAGGGACUGUUUGGUUUGGACUCAGGAAGGUCCCCUCUGGUCUAGACGUGAACUCCCACUUCAGCUGGAGUGUCAUCUGUUCCUGUUUCCCCAGGGUCUCGGUGACUGGAUCUGGUUUGUGUUGUGUCUUUUCCCUUGGAGAAGACACAGUAGAGGCUGAUUUGGCCACACAGAGGGCUGGUGUGGAAGAGGAAAGCAAUGUCUCUGAUUACUGAAUGCACAGGUCACUAGGAAGAGUGGACCCCUCGUCAGAAACCCUCAGGUCUGAGAGGACAUCUGUUUCGAGGAGCGCAGUGGGUAUAAAUAGAGCAGGAGCCAGCCUCGCUGCUGGACAUAUACUGGACAAAAGAUGUCUCUUCUAUCAGCAGAGUGAUGAUGGUGAAGAUGGUGAUGGAGGUGUAUAUGGAUGGUCAAAACUGGGUGGACAUGUUCCUUCCCCUUUGUACCUGAGUGUGGACACAUGGAGCUUCUGUUUCUUGUUUUUAACCCCGAGAGCAUCAUCCCAGUCUUGUUGCCGGACUGCUCCAGUACUCAAGUCUGAGAUGCUGACUCUGAUGCAUAUCAUUAAAGAAUCAAAGUUUAGUGAAGAGCUUCCACCCACUCCAGACUCCUUUCCACAACCUCUUCCUGGAGUGGGCAUCUCCUACCUUUAUAGGACAAUGUACCACAUUGAAAAAUUUUGCCUUUUCCCCAGCAAGCCACUCCACAGGCUGUCAGACCUGCCUGUUCCUGACAAGGGCUGUUCUUGUCAUGGGCGGACCUCAGUUUCAGGGGGACGGCGAUGA